AUGGACGAUGCGGCGCCGCCGGCCAGGGACUGGUCGCUGCUGCCCCUUGACGUUCUCUCCUCGAUCUUCACCAGGCUCGGCGCCGUCGACGUCCUGACGGGCGCGGGCCUCGUGUGCCGCUCGUGGCUCGAGGCGGCCAGGUUGCCAGACGUGUGGCGAGUAGUGGAGAUCGAUAUCCACGGGAUGCUGCUCCCCAAGAAACUAGUUGCCCUGCACGCAAUGGCGAAGACUGCCGUCGAACGCUCCGACGGACAGCUCCGGGUGUUCGCCGGGGAGCACGUCAUCACCGAUGAUCUCAUGAAGUUCAUCGUGGAGAGGUCGCCCUCACUGACAACCCUUCGGCUUGUAUCCUACAGCCACGUCUUCACCCAACAAGUCGCCAGUGCUAUAAAAGAGUCGCCUCUGCUGGAGCUGCGUUCCCUUGAACUCGGCGACAUUGACAUCACCGUGGGAGAACUGACCAGCAUCCUUGAGGACUGUCCUGCUCUGGAGGUUCUUCGGCUGCACAAUUGUUUGGACAUCAACGACAACCAUACCCUGCAAGCGAAGUUCCCCAGGAUCAAGAACCUGACGCUCGAGUGGGAUGAUGCGUACUGGUCCCGUUUUUAUACAGAUGGCUCUUACAGCGACUCUGCUCCUGAUUCUGAAGAUGAGUGGACAGAUGGUUCAAUGUGA
This 675-nucleotide ribosomal RNA is filed under the name Triticum aestivum (bread wheat). Its description in RNAcentral is "partial small subunit ribosomal RNA". Lineage: Eukaryota; Viridiplantae; Streptophyta; Magnoliopsida; Poales; Poaceae. The record is from RNAcentral.